GCAGUUCGAGCGAAGAAGAUGGGAAGCUUGCUCCCUGAUCUUAGCGGCGGACGGGUGAGUAACACGUGGGCAACCUGCCCUGCAGACUGGGAUAACUCCGGGAAACCGGAGCUAAUACCGGGUAAUACAUCGCACCGCAUGGUGCAAUGUUGAAAGUUGGCUUUCUGAGCUAACACUGCAGGAUGGGCCCGCGGCGCAUUAGCUAGUUGGUAAGGUAAUGGCUUACCAAGGCGACGAUGCGUAGCCGACCUGAGAGGGUGAUCGGCCACACUGGGACUGAGACACGGCCCAGACUCCUACGGGAGGCAGCAGUAGGGAAUCUUCCGCAAUGGACGAAAGUCUGACGGAGCAACGCCGCGUGAGUGACGAAGGCCUUCGGGUCGUAAAGCUCUGUUGUUAGGGAAGAACAAGUACCGUUCGAAUAGGGCGGUACCUUGACGGUACCUAACCAGAAAGCCACGGCUAACUACGUGCCAGCAGCCGCGGUAAUACGUAGGUGGCAAGCGUUGUCCGGAAUUAUUGGGCGUAAAGCGCGCGCAGGCGGUCUUUUAAGUCUGAUGUGAAAGCCCACGGCUCAACCGUGGAGGGUCAUUGGAAACUGGAGGACUUGAGUGCAGAAGAGGAGAGUGGAAUUCCACGUGUAGCGGUGAAAUGCGUAGAUAUGUGGAGGAACACCAGUGGCGAAGGCGGCUCUCUGGUCUGUAACUGAC
Molecule: ribosomal RNA, 710 nt
Filed under: bacterium IBRC-M GD4
Lineage: Bacteria
Description: bacterial SSU rRNA
Rfam family: Bacterial small subunit ribosomal RNA
Source: RNAcentral